GUUACAGUGAUUCAGUUGCAUCGAAAAUACGCAACCACUCUAUUAGCAAAGAGUUGCUCCAGAAUAAGGAUGGGGUUGUGCCCAAUUACUGUUAGAUGAGGGAUCCAAUGAUGGCCUUGUACCUACUUGUGAACGGUGGGUCGGGCUUAACUUCUUAGUGUGGGCAAUAACUAUUAGAUGAGCCCACAUGACUUAGAGAUCAAGUCGUCGCAACAUGCUUAGUGAAGUA
This 229-nucleotide long non-coding RNA is filed under the name Elaeis guineensis (African oil palm). RNAcentral's name for it is "long non-coding RNA (EGUI_LNC043188)". Lineage: Eukaryota; Viridiplantae; Streptophyta; Magnoliopsida; Arecales; Arecaceae. The record is from RNAcentral.